GCUGCUCUAGCUCAGUUGGUAGAGCAUCGGUUUUGUAAACCGACGGUCGCAGGUUCAAGUCCUGUGAGCAGCUCCA
RNAcentral lists this transfer RNA (76 nucleotides) under Halobacteriovoraceae bacterium. RNAcentral's name for it is "tRNA-Thr". It matches the Rfam family "tRNA". Rfam says of the family: Transfer RNA (tRNA) molecules are approximately 80 nucleotides in length. Their secondary structure includes four short double-helical elements and three loops (D, anti-codon, and T loops). RNAcentral also lists the same sequence under 2 other names. The record is from RNAcentral. Lineage: Bacteria; Pseudomonadati; Bdellovibrionota; Bacteriovoracia; Bacteriovoracales; Halobacteriovoraceae.